CACUAGCGUAUAUUAAAGCUGCUGCAGUUAAAACGCUCGUAGUUGUGGUUUCGUUAGCGAGAGGGUGCGUGUCUCAAAAAGACGCGUGCCAGCUGGCUAAUUACAAGCGAGUGUGCGUGUUAAGUCACACACACUCAGUAAACCUUGAAAAAAUAUUGACGCUUAAAAUUGGACUUAGGUCCAAGUUCUUUCUGCAUGGGAUUUUGGAAUACGAGUGGUGGAGUAAGAUCCGCCGCUAAUGACAUUUGAGGAUGAAAGAGGAAGUUAAUAUUUAGCUGUCAGAGGUGAAAUUCUUGGAUUAGCUAAAGAUUAACUAAUGCGAAGNCANNNUUCAAUUGCUUUCCUGUNAA
RNAcentral lists this ribosomal RNA (350 nucleotides) under uncultured eukaryote. RNAcentral's name for it is "partial 18S ribosomal RNA". It matches the Rfam family "Eukaryotic small subunit ribosomal RNA", at positions 592 to 976 of the family's 1831-position model. The record is from RNAcentral.